RNAcentral lists this ribosomal RNA (393 nucleotides) under uncultured bacterium. Its description in RNAcentral is "partial 16S ribosomal RNA". It matches the Rfam family "Bacterial small subunit ribosomal RNA", at positions 523 to 918 of the family's 1533-position model. The record is from RNAcentral.
AUACGGAGGAUCCGAGCGUUAUCCGGAUUUAUUGGGUUUAAAGGGAGCGUAGGUGGACAGUUAAGUCAGUUGUGAAAGUUUGCGGCUCAACCGUAAAAUUGCAGUUGAUACUGGCUGUCUUGAGUACAGUAGAGGUGGGCGGAAUUCGUGGGGUAGCGGUGAAAUGCUUAGAUAUCACGAAGAACUCCGAUCGCGAAGGCAGCUCACCGGGCCGGAACUGACACUGAUGCUCGAAAGUGCGGGUAUCAAACAGGAUUAGAUACCCUGGUAGUCCGCACAGUAAACGAUGAAUACUCGCUGUUUGCGAUACACGGUAAGCGGCCAAGCGAAAGCGUUAAGUAUUCCACCUGGGGAGUACGCCGGUAACGGUGAAACUCAAAUGAAUUGACGGGG